This 461-nucleotide ribosomal RNA is filed under the name uncultured Scutellospora. Its description in RNAcentral is "SSU rRNA". It matches the Rfam family "Eukaryotic small subunit ribosomal RNA", at positions 569 to 1035 of the family's 1831-position model. The record is from RNAcentral. Lineage: Eukaryota; Fungi; Glomeromycota; Glomeromycetes; Diversisporales; Gigasporaceae.
AGCAGCCGCGGUAAUUCCAGCUCCAAUAGCGUAUAUUAAAGUUGUUGCAGUUAAAAAGCUCGUAGUUGAAUUUCGGGAUUCUACCGUCGGUCGGGCUACCAAGUCUGUACUGGUGUGUAGAAUUCCUACCUUCUGGGGAACCAUCAUGUUAUUAAUUUAGCGUGGUGGGAAACCAGGACCUUUACCUUGAAAAAAUUAGAGUGUUCAAAGCAGGCUUAUGUCUGAAUACAUUAGCAUGGAAUAAUAGAAUAGGACGGUGGUCCUGUUUUGUUGGUUUCUGAAUCACCGUAAUGAUUAAUAGGGAUAGUUGGGGGCAUUAGUAUUCAAUUGUCAGAGGUGAAAUUCUUGGAUUUAUUGAAGACUAACUUCUGCGAAAGCAUUUGCCAAGGAUGUUUUCAUUAAUCAAGAACGAAAGUUAGGGGAUCGAAGACGAUCAGAUACCGUCGUAGUCUUAACCAUAA